UGGGGGAUAUUGCACAAUGGGCGCAAGCCUGAUGCAGCGACGCCGCGUGGGGGAUGAAGGCCUUCGGGUUGUAAACUUCUUUUGCUCUGAACAAGGCGCACUUUGGGGUGUGUUGAGUGUAGGGGUUGAUUAGCGCCGGCUAACUACGUGCCAGCAGCCGCGGUAAUACGUAGGGCGCGAGCGUUGUCCGGAAUUAUUGGGCGUAAAGGGCUUGUAGGUGGCUGGUUGCGUAGGUCGUGAAAGCUCAUGGCUUAACUGUGGGUUUGCGGUGGGUACGGGCUGGCGUGAGUGGAGUAGGGGAGGCUGGAAUUCCUGGUGUAGCGGUGGAAUGCGCAGAUAUCAGGAGGAAUACCGGUGGCGAAGGGGGGUCUCUGGGCUGUUACUGACACUGAGGAGCGAAAGCAUGGGGAGCGAACAGG
RNAcentral lists this ribosomal RNA (419 nucleotides) under bacterium. RNAcentral describes it as "partial 16S ribosomal RNA". It matches the Rfam family "Bacterial small subunit ribosomal RNA", at positions 355 to 776 of the family's 1533-position model. The record is from RNAcentral.